RNAcentral lists this transfer RNA (74 nucleotides) under Dehalococcoidales bacterium. RNAcentral's name for it is "tRNA-Gln". It matches the Rfam family "tRNA". Rfam says of the family: Transfer RNA (tRNA) molecules are approximately 80 nucleotides in length. Their secondary structure includes four short double-helical elements and three loops (D, anti-codon, and T loops). Further hydrogen bonds mediate the characteristic L-shaped molecular structure. tRNAs have two regions of fundamental functional importance: the anti-codon, which is responsible for specific mRNA codon recognition, and the 3' end, to which the tRNAs corresponding amino acid is attached (by aminoacyl-tRNA synthetases). tRNAs cope with the degeneracy of the genetic code in two manners: having more than one tRNA (with a specific anti-codon) for a particular amino acid; and 'wobble' base-pairing, i.e. permitting non-standard base-pairing at the 3rd anti-codon position. Lineage: Bacteria; Bacillati; Chloroflexota; Dehalococcoidia; Dehalococcoidales. The record is from RNAcentral. RNAcentral also lists the same sequence under 2 other names.
UGGGGAGUCGUCUAGAGGUAGGACAGCGGACUCUGGAUCCGUAAGCGAAGGUUCGAAUCCUUCCUCCCCAGCCA